Long non-coding RNA from Mya arenaria, 5809 nucleotides. RefSeq lists it as uncharacterized. The transcript has 4 exons. NCBI's taxonomy places the organism in Eukaryota, Metazoa, Mollusca, Bivalvia, Myida, Myidae. The record is from RefSeq and is a predicted model, not a curated record.
CUCGAUGAAGGACGUUGUAAACAAAUGUUUUAAAUGCUGAAUGUUAACUAGUGCAAACCAGGCUAAAGGACUUUAAGUUUGCAAAAAGGUAAACAUCAGAACGUUACUGUUUUCAUGCUAGUAUAAAUGUUUCGACUGUGUUAAUGUCUGUGUUGAUAUUAAACCCUAAUCUUCAAUGCUGAAAAUAGAACAACGCAUUUUGCAAUACAGAACGAAAAUAACAAACAAUGCUGAAAAUAGUUCAACGCAUUUUGCAAAACAGAACGAAAAUAACAAACAAAGAAAUAUUGAAUACGAUUGAAUAAAUUGUGGAAGAUAACAUUCAAAUUAUAUUGGCAUGCAUAUAUACCAUGUUCACAUGUUGGGUACAUAUUUAUAAAUAAUUAACCUGAUUUAUAAAUUACUAAUAUCGAAUUACUGCGGAACAUGUGACUUUGAAGAAAUGUUGAAAUUAACCUGACAGCAUAUGUUGCAUUUAUUUGUAUGAUUAUAGGACGAAAGCACUACAAAUUGAAUGCAAACCAUCAUUUACAAUGUGAAACGCUGGCGUUUGAUUUAAAAUAUAUACUAAUGAACCACCUUAAAGGAAAUACAUGUCAUAAUAUAAACAGGAUUUAGAAGAAAAAUUAUAGGAUGGAAAAUAUAUAUACAUUAUUGAAGGCGGAGUUUACAUAUAUUGUCGACUCAAUAACUACAUAUGGAAAUAAAGCAGUAAUUGAGUUGAUAUGACGUUCUAAAAUCUGUUUUAUUUACUUAGCCUUUAAACUUUUACAAACAGAACAAAUAUAUAUAUUAUGGUAAUUAUUUAUUUCAUAAUUAACCGCUUCUUGUGAAUGACACUGCACAGCGCAUCAGAGAAAAUCGACUACUUUGACAUUGGACAUGAACCUUACAAAAUGAAAGUAUUGAAGAUUAUUCAGUCCAUGUGCAAAGGCCAAGUCGCGCAUCGAAAAGUGAAAGCAUUCCACCCGAGAGAACAGCCGUAGACAAGCAGAGACCGCUUGAUGUUAAUUCAGUCCAAGUUCAAAGGUCAAGCCGUGCAUCGGAAAGUGAAAGCAUUUCACCCGAGAGAAUACAUCGAUCCGACCUGUCAAUCAAACUAAUCAUUAUUGACCAAUGAGAAAGCUGCAAAUUAUUCACCGAGUCCCGUCCGCCAUCUUUACCCACAAACACAGCAGCAAUAACUGUUUACAACCGGACAUUUUAUUGAAGUUUUAAGACUGAUUUGUGAAAACGGUUAAACGAUGCGGAUGGGGAAUAUGUUAUGCGGAUUAAGGUAUCCAGAGGGACUAAAUGGAGGCCGAUUUAAACGAUUUCCGACCUAUAAUCCGAUAUUGAGAAGUGCAAAUGUUGGAUUAAAGCCUGUGGACGGCCACACGAGAAACUGAAUGUCAACAGGAUAAACAAGCACGAAGAUGUCUGCUCGAAGCACUUUCAUGGAGGAAAUGGACCAUCUAAAGAGUAUCCUGACCCAUUAUCAGCUGAUGGCUGGAGAAUAACAUCUUCAAGAAAACUCCCCACAAAGCGGUCACUUGGAAAGGAAACUUAUGGCAGCAUUUAUACACAAAAUGCAAGUGUAUGCAUUUAAUACAAGAUAUCACAUGCCUAGAAAAGCUGGUCCAGGAUCCUGCAGACACUGUACCAGGAGUAGGAACACAGACCGAAUGUCCUUGGACGUCACCUUUGGAUAUGUUUGCAUUUACCGCUCAGAAUGCUUCCUUAAAAGAACAUUUGUCACAAAAAGAAGUCCAAGUUGAAGAAUAACAGUCUGCACUUUCAUCAAAGUGUUGUGAAAUUCAGAUUUUAAAGCAACUGGUGGGAAUUUAAACAAACUGUAAAUGUCCAUAUAGUUCUGCUCAAAGAAGCAAGAGUUAAAAUUUGUUUAAAUAUUAUACAGGAAUCAUAUGAUUUUAUUUCUGCCUCUUUGAUAUAAAUGAAUAACUGUUAGUUUAUUCAUGUUUGGAAUAAAGCAUUGUAAAGUAAAUUGUGUGUUUGUAGUUCAUUUAUUUAAUUAAAUUUAAAAUUUGUAAACUUGGUCUGUGUAUCUAUCUGGCAAAUGACAGGUUUCCUUUUCCGACUGUGCUACUAUGACUUGGUUCACUGGAACUGGCUUGAUCUUUGAUCCCUUUGGCACAUUCCAUUGUUGGGGAAUACUUGUGUAACUUUGUUGAUCAGGAACAUGGGUGAAGUUGUGCAACUUGAAUUCCUGAAGUGACUUGAUUAAGCCAACCACGUGUGAACAAUGACCGCUCAAUCUAUAAAAAAAAUGAAAACAGAGAUUGUUGACAAGAUAUCAAAACAAAAGCAUGAUAUCAUGCUGUGAAAUUGGCAUGUGUUUAUCCUACACUGACCCAUGAAGUAUCAUUUGACUUUCCAGAUGUUAAAUGUCUAAAACGAGGCAGUAACUAAAAAUAUGAAAACCAAUAAAUUGAAAUACAACAUACAGUAUCUUACUUCUUUCUCUACUCAACGACUUGAAAAUAUUUUUUUUUGCAUUCCGUAUUACGGCAUGAAAUGUAAAAGACAUGGCGAUCCAAAAUUGCUUAUAAUACAUAAUGUAAUUUAAGAAUAAAAUUACUAGUAUUAUAUCAUUUGUUAAAUACAAUUGGAAAUUCACAUACACUGUUUUUCAUAAGCAAUACCUAUAUCGUAUGGAAUCCCUCUCCACAUCGACACUUAACAUAUGAUGCUUGUCGUUUUUUUUUCUCAUUGAAGGCCAGCAUCUCGCGGUAACAUGGCAGAUAUUUCCUCUUCCAAAACUUUAAUGUCAUGAAUAUAACCUUGUAGAAAGUAAUUUAAUCCAUUUUCUUACACCUUUCCCGAUAAUUUGGCUUGAUCUGGUAAAUAUUUAACUGAUAUAUUGUCCGAAAUCUUCGCGAGAGAAUCGGAUUCUGAUGCUAUCGUAGCAGCGCGAGAGCCGCCAUUUUGAAUUUACGCUUGGGGCGCAUAAUAACAAUAUCUAAGGGGGCGGAGCUUAUCUUGGCAUCUCGGAUCGAUGUAUAGCCGAAGACGAGCAGAGACCGCUUGAAUUUAAUUCAGUCCAAGUUCAAAGGUCAAGGCGUGCAUCUGAAAGUGAAAGCAUUCCAACCGAGAGAACAGACGUCGACGAGCUUAUAAAAUAUGAUUUUCGAAUAGACCAAAAAUACAUUGAACACUUUGGGCAAUGCAUCGAAUGCGUGAAAGCAAUCCCAGUCUUUUCUUAUGACGAUAUAGAAAUCGCAGAUCAUAUCACAUAUAACGGAAGAAUUUACGAUCAUCAUGCAAUUGUUUCGGCAAAAUUUGGAAAUGAAAAGAUCAAAAUAAUAGAGGCUACAAAUAGCUUUUCCGGGGCAGUAUUUGGUCUUUUCCCAUUUGGUAGGAAAGCAUUGAUAAAAGAAUCUGAGAGGUCAUUGGAAUUUACUAAAGACCGGAUUCAUGUUGUGGUAUACAAAAAACGAGUCUUCGAAAACAUCAAAGUUGCCAGCAGGGCAAAGGCUAUUUGCGAAGCUAAAGGUACAACUAGUAAAUACGACUACCAUUUAUUGAAUAACAACUAUGAGCAUUUCGCAACGUUUUGCGUCACAGGAAAGAAAUUCAGCUUGCAAGUUAUCAAAGUGGAACUGGUUGCCAGGCUCUUCGUGCUGAAUGGAUUUGUUGGUUUGAGUGAUGAGAGGAAACGCAACUAAUUUCUAGAUGAGAGAAAACACAUUUGUAACAAAUGCUAUAAACUGAAUGAGCCCUUACUGAACGUGUCCACGAGACCUAUUACGUCAGCAGGUGACGUAGCACCUGGUGACAUCAUCAGAUACUACUACGGACUCCACGAUGGAGUUGUUCUGGAAACAGAACAUUCCAACAAAACCUCCAUGAAAUGUCGAAUCGCCCAUUAUGCGUUUUGUGGUUUCUUUUCGCAUAGGACAAUUAAAGACGAGGAGGUCACGGUGCCGUUUGAUGGCAGUCUAUGUGUUAUUGAAUACAAAACAACAGACUUUGAAGUGUACGAAACGGAAAAGGUAAUUGCAAGGGCAAGAUCAAGAGUAGGAGAACAACGUUUUGUGUUUUUCUCAAAUGAUACCAGCCAUUUGAGCGUUGGUGUACGUUGCCAAGAAUAAGACGUGGAUAUUCAGGACAAAGUGACAUCUGUGACCAGGCUGACGACAAUGAUCACGAUGACGUCAUUGACCAUGAAAGUCUGAAGAUAAAUUGAUGUUGUGGGGCAAGUAAUAUCGGAAUGUUCGUGUUUUACAUAUGCAUGAUCAAGGUCUUUCUUGCGAGACUCCGCCUACAAAAGUCACGAAAGGUUGACAGGUUCAUGCAAAAUGAACGGAAAUUGAAUCGUACAGAAGAUCAAGUGCGAAUGUCAAUAAGUUUAAAUUUACAAUUAUAUUUGCAGUCUUGCAUAAAACGACGGUGUAACCUAUAGUACAUGGCAGCUAGUGAUCACAAAAUACUUUGUUUGGGAACAAAAUCACAUUGAGACAUAUACAGCCUAUCAGAAUGAUAUUUAUUAAUUAGUUUUAUUCCAUAAUAAUUGUGUUCAUAUUAAUUCAAUCAUUGUUUUGUGUACGUGAUCCUUGUGUAUUUUUUGUAAAAUUUUGUCCUGUGCAAUAUUUAAAUGCAGUGAUCAUAUAAAGCAGUACACGUACAAUGGACCUUUACAGCAGUUUGCAGUUAGUGGUUCAAGAUUUAGAAACGUAUCAAAUAUAGAAUUAAUCAAUGGCGGAUUUGCCAUGAAAGUAGAUUUGAGGAAGCACUUGACUAAUGUGAGAGAUGUCAUCAACAUGUACAUACAUUCGUUUAUGAUAUGUAUUUCAACAACGUAGCAGCAACUUUUGUUUAAUUUGUUUCAAUGUUUAAUUUUGUAAGGUGUUAUUUUGCAAUACAAGUUUGUGUUUUAUUAGAACAAUAUGGUAUGAUCAUAUUUUUUAAAUAUUUUGUUUACAUCUUUGCAUUUAUAUUUCCGACUGUUAAAAAUCGCAACAUGUAUAGUUUAAUGCUGUAUUAGAUGAUUAGAGUGAAGCUUCAUCUUGUGAAGAUUUGAAGCCAACUAUUUCAUACGAAUAAGUUAUUCAAUAAUGUAAUACGAGUUUGUGUUUCAUAACAACAUUUUUGUAUGAUCGUAUUUCUUUAUCUAUAUGUUGACAAUUUUGCAUUUAUAUUCAUAAUUGAAAGAAAUCCUUGGUUGUAUUGUUUUACGCUGUAUUUGAUGAUCGGAGGGUAGGUUCGAUUUGUGUAGAACUGAUAAAGGCAUCUAAAAAUAAGUAGCUUAGAUUAGUCUGGCAUCUACAUAUUAAUAGCUAACAUUUUUCUGGGAUUUACAUAUUAAUAGCUAACAUUAGCCUGGCAUCUACAUAUAAGAUGCGAACAUUAGUCUGACAUCCACAUAUAAGUAGCUUACAAUAAAUAUGGCAUCUACAAUUAGUAGCUUACAUUAGUCUGGCAUCCACAUAUAGGAAGCGAACAUUAGUCUGGCAUCUACAUUUGAGUAGCUAACAUUAGACUGGCAUCUACAUAUGAGAAACUGAUGUUAGCAUAGUACCAAUAUAUGAGUAGCUAACCAUAGUCUGGCAUCCAUAUAUCAGUAGCUAGCAUUAAUCUGGCAUCUACAUAUGAGUAGCUAACAUUAGCAUGGUACAAACAUAUGAGUGACUAGCAUUAGUCUGGCAUCUACAAGUUAGUAUAUUGCAUUAGCCUGACAUCUGCAUAUCAAUAAUUAGAAUUAGGGUAGCAUCUACAAAACAGUAGCUAGGAUUAGUGUGGCAUCUACAAAUUAGUAGCUUGCAUUUGUCUGGCAUCUAAAUAUUAUCUAAAUAUAAUAUAAAAUCUAAAC